GACGAACGCUGGCGGCGCGCCUAACACAUGCAAGUCGAACGGAGAUACCUGUUAGAUCCCUUCGGGGUGACGAUGGACUAUCUUAGUGGCGGACGGGUGAGUAACACGUGAGCAACCUGCCUUACAGAGUGGGAUAACGUUUGGAAACGAACGCUAAUACCGCAUAACAUUAACUUAUCGCAUGGUAAGAUAAUCAAAGAAAUUCGCUGUAAGAUGGGCUCGCGUCUGAUUAGAUAGUUGGUGAGGUAACGGCUCACCAAGUCGACGAUCAGUAGCCGGACUGAGAGGUUGAACGGCCACAUUGGGACUGAGACACGGCCCAGACUCCUACGGGAGGCAGCAGUGGGGAAUAUUGCACAAUGGGGGAAACCCUGAUGCAGCGACGCCGCGUGAGGGAAGAAGGUUUUCGGAUUGUAAACCUCUGUCUUCAGGGACGAUAGUGACGGU
This 447-nucleotide ribosomal RNA is filed under the name uncultured bacterium. Its description in RNAcentral is "bacterial SSU rRNA". It matches the Rfam family "Bacterial small subunit ribosomal RNA", at positions 28 to 458 of the family's 1533-position model. The record is from RNAcentral.